UUGUCGGUGGAGAGCGGGUAUUGCUUGUGCGUGCUCAGAUCGAGCAGCAGCACCGACUGCGGCGCCGGAUCAUUGCGGCCGACAUA
Molecule: transfer RNA, 86 nt
Filed under: Dyella flava
Lineage: Bacteria; Pseudomonadati; Pseudomonadota; Gammaproteobacteria; Lysobacterales; Rhodanobacteraceae
Description: tRNA-Leu
Source: RNAcentral